Molecule: long non-coding RNA, 2403 nt
Organism: Castor canadensis (American beaver)
Lineage: Eukaryota; Metazoa; Chordata; Mammalia; Rodentia; Castoridae
Source: RefSeq, a predicted model, not a curated record
UUUCGCAUCACACACUAUAUAAAUAUACGCGGAGAUGCCCAGAUACAUUCAGGCACUGCGCACACAGGAUACUUGCUCCUGGUAGAUAAGAGCUGGCUAGGGAACAAUGACAGGGUCCACGCCCAACGUCCGCGCCCUGAUUCCCGCAGUCUGCAACGCUCUCCCUACCAACACCUUCCCCCUAAAUCCAUAGCCAAACGCCUUUGGCCCCUUUCCUUUUCCCGGGGCCGUUGGCUGAAAGUGGCGUUCCUGACUCAUUCACUUUCCGUUUCUUCCCACAGAUACGAUCAUUAAUGCUUUUUCCAGCCAGAGUCAAAACUUUUUUGGGGAUGGAAAGACAGCGGAAGAGUUUACUAGGACUGGGGAUAACCUGGCGCCUAGUUCUGGAGAAGAUCCGGACGCAGACCGAAGCAAACCAACCAUUAAAAAAUGCAUCCAAUGGGAAUUUUCCCAAUAGGGUCUUCCGCUGCUGAGACGCGGUGGACUCGCAGCUCACCCACGCGGAUUCGGGGCGCUUUCGGGCUGACCUUGCCGCCAGGGGCGCGACUCGACACCCCGCGCAUUGUUAGGAGAGGGGCGCCCUCUUUGCCGCGCGCCUUGUCUUUGGGCUUCUGGCGCAGGAGAAGUGCAGGCAUCGAUGGCACCCUAGGCCACCUACCCGCGUUUUCUUGGGCUAAACCCUUCGCGCUUCCCCGGACCCAACAGCCCCAGCCUGGUCUUCAGAGCUAGAGUCGCCCUUCCAAUUUCACCUGGGUUCCCAAGGAACUGACACUACGGAAGGACUUGCCCUCCACGCUGGUCAGCAGGUUCCGGGAGCGCAGCACGCAACAGCUCAACACGGACCCAGACUUCUCCCGGAACAGGUUACCUUGUCCACGCUCUCCAGACCACGCUUUGGACUGUCUCACUUUUAUUUAAGAAUCCUCCCGGGGAAAAAGGGAAAAAAAAAAAUCCAGUGGAGAUCCGAGUAAAAUGGAAAGAAAAAAAUUUUCAAAAGGGUGUCCACAGCGGCAAAAAAGCCCAGACUCUACCGACCUUCAAACGACAACAGCGUUUUCUGGAGGGUGCUUGGAGACCACGACUCACCAGGACCUCACCAGAAACCCAAACAUCCCUGCCACAUUGCCUCUCCUUCAGCCAGAAAGGACCCAAGUUCACCACCAAGAGACCCCCUUCCUGGUACUGGGCACUCCCAGAGGCUUGCCACCCCACACGUGGCAACCCCUCCUUCCCCACACAUGCACACUCCUAGCCUUCAGAAGGCCUUUUGUGACCAACCUAGUCACCAGUUUUCUCUCUCUAACUCCUGUGGACCUGGCAAAUGCCAGUUGUCUUCACUACAUUGGUAGGUAGUCACCCCAACAUCCCUAGUAUCCCCCAACUUCAUUAAGGGCAGUUGCCUCUCCCUUUGGAAGUGUUGAAUAUGAAACUAGAUGAAAACGAAGACUUGCCUGCCUGUCCGAGUUGUGAGCUGAAUAGCACUUUCUGUUUCUGCCUGUGAAACCAAAGUUAUGGCAAUUUCGUAAUUUUGGAGAUGUGGUGGGGGAGGGCUGGCAUAGGCAUCACCCUGUGCAUAGACUUCGGCAUCAUUCCCUCUGUGACUCAUGAAUUGGCACUAAUGCUCCCUGUCUUUUACUAUUUACUGGCCCCUCCAUGAGGAGCUACUGCCCAUUUACAGGGGUCUCCACCCAGAAAGAAGACCCCCUUAAUUUUGAGCAGAUCUCUGAGGGAAUAUCAGAUUCUUUCCAUCCCUUGUUGACGUGCUGGUGGGCAAGCUUGUCUUGCUUAUGUAACUCUGGGUUUGAUGCUCCACUCCAUUGCUGCUGGUUCUUUUUUAAAUCCCGAAGGGGGGGAAAGCCCUAACCAAACACAACAGUAAACAAGUCUGCCCUGCUUAAUGUGGUUACCACCAGACAUCUGGAAAGAUGGUUUGAUCCUGGCAGCUCACAUUGUUUUCACGAGCAGCCAAAGAGAAUAUUUUGAAUGUUUGCAUUGAGACAAAUUGAUAGAGAGCCUGCGGUGAGGCUGCUAUAAAUGAAAACUGUCUUGUGUUGGGAAGAAGGCGUUCCCUGCCCUCUCUUCUCUCUCUACUCCUCUCUCCUCACUUUCUUCUUCCCUCUCCCCUCUUUCUGUCUCCCCCUCUCCCUUGUCUACUAGCCUAGCUUGGGAAUGGUUGCCCCUGCCCACACACUUGUGCACACCCUCUUUCCUGGCUCACUAAGGACUGCCUGGCUUCACUCUUUCCCAGACUGGGCAGGGCUGGGGACCAGAAUCUGGUAUGGGUACCACUGUGCCCAUUCCACCAGCCCAUUCCUGGCUUUCAAGUCAGUGGACUCUCACAGCCAAGGACACUAGGCCAAGCAUUUUUUUUCUUUUUAAGCUACCAACUGGAGAAAAAAAAUA